ACGGAAGGCAGCAGUGGGGAAUAUUGGGCAAUGGGGGAAACCCUGACCCAGCAACGCCGCGUGGAGGAAGAAGGUCUUCGGAUCGUAAACUCCUGUCCUAAGGGAAGAGGAGAAGACGGUGUUUUAGGAGGAAGCCCCGGCUAACUACGUGCCAGCAGCCGCGGUAAUACGUAGGGGGCAAGCGUUGUCCGGAAUGAUUGGGCGUAAAGGGCGCGUAGGCGGCCCGGUAAGUCUGGAGUGAAAGUCCUGCCUUCAAGGUGGGAAUUGCUUUGGAUACUGUCGGGCUUGAGUGCAGGAGAGGUAAGUGGAAUUCCCAGUGUAGCGGUGAAAUGCGUAGAGAUUGGGAGGAACACCAGUGGCGAAGGCGACUUACUGGACUGUAACUGACGCUGAGGCGCGAAAGUGCGGGUAUCAAACAGGAUUAGAUACCCUGGUA
This 436-nucleotide ribosomal RNA is filed under the name uncultured bacterium. Its description in RNAcentral is "partial 16S ribosomal RNA". It matches the Rfam family "Bacterial small subunit ribosomal RNA", at positions 341 to 792 of the family's 1533-position model. The record is from RNAcentral.